CCUACGGGAGGCAGCAGUGAGGAAUAUUGGUCAAUGGACGAGAGUCUGAACCAGCCAAGUAGCGUGAAGGAUGACUGCCCUAUGGGUUGUAAACUUCUUUUAUAAAGGAAUAAAACGAGGCACGUGUGCCUUUUUGCAUGUACUUUAUGAAUAAGGAUCGGCUAACUCCGUGCCAGCAGCCGCGGUAAUACGGAGGAUUCGAGCGUUAUCCGGAUUUAUUGGGUUUAAAGGGAGCGUAGAUGGGUUGUUAAGUCAGUUGUGAAAGUUUGCGGCUCAACCGUAAAAUUGCAAUUGAUACUGGCGGUCUUGAGGACAGUUGAGGUAGGCGGAAUUCGUGGUGUAGCGGUGAAAUGCUUAGAGAUCACGAAGAACCCCGAUUGCGAAGGCAGCUUACUAAACUGUGACUGACGUUGAUGCACGAAAGUGUGGGUAUCAAACAGGAUUAGAUACCCCAGUAGUC
This 460-nucleotide ribosomal RNA is filed under the name uncultured bacterium. Its description in RNAcentral is "partial 16S ribosomal RNA". It matches the Rfam family "Bacterial small subunit ribosomal RNA", at positions 338 to 795 of the family's 1533-position model. The record is from RNAcentral.